RNAcentral lists this ribosomal RNA (492 nucleotides) under uncultured bacterium. Its description in RNAcentral is "partial 16S ribosomal RNA". It matches the Rfam family "Bacterial small subunit ribosomal RNA", at positions 29 to 507 of the family's 1533-position model. The record is from RNAcentral.
AGUGAACGCUGGCGGUAGGCCUAACACAUGCAAGUCGAACGGCAGCACAGUAAGAGCUUGCUCUUACGGGUGGCGAGUGGCGGACGGGUGAGGAAUACAUCGGAAUCUACUUUUUCGUGGGGGAUAACGUAGGGAAACUUACGCUAAUACCGCAUACGACCUACGGGUGAAAGCAGGGGAUCUUCGGACCUUGCGCGAUUGAAUGAGCCGAUGUCGGAUUAGCUAGUUGGCGGGGUAAAGGCCCACCAAGGCGACGAUCCGUAGCUGGUCUGAGAGGAUGAUGAGCCACACUGGAACUGAGACACGGUACAGACUCCUACGGGAGGCAGCAGUGGGGAAUAUUGGACAAUGGGCGCAAGCCUGAUCCAGCCAUACCGCGUGGGUGAAGAAGGCCUUCGGGUUGUAAAGCCCUUUUGUUGGGAAAGAAAAGCAGCAGGUUAAUACCCCGCUGUUCUGACGGUACCCAAAGAAUAAGCACCGGCUAACUUCGUG